RNAcentral lists this long non-coding RNA (772 nucleotides) under Cricetulus griseus (Chinese hamster). RNAcentral describes it as "lncRNA (ENSCGRG00015038983.1)". The record is from RNAcentral. Lineage: Eukaryota; Metazoa; Chordata; Mammalia; Rodentia; Cricetidae.
CCAGGAGUCAGGAGCCUGGGUGGGUGCCACUGCAUCCACUGUCCCCAGUCUCUGUCUUUGCCAGGACUUUGGCGGCCUCGUCUCUGAAAUCCUAGAUGUGAUUCAGGGUUCCUUUACCUGGGUCAGUGGGGAUCCUUGCCCUCCUCUUCAGAGAAUCCUUUGGACUCUCAAGGCUCAUUCCAUGUUGCUGCCCAUGUGUGUUUCCAGUACAUAUGUAGCAGGCAAAAACACUUCUAGGAACCGAGAUCCCUGGCCAAGCAGGUUGGAAGUAUCUAGAAUUUUGCUCUGUUUCAAGGAGACAAAGAAAUUAUUAUUGUGGAUACUGACUACAAGAACUUUUCCAUCGUACUUAUCCAUCCUGGAAGAUAUAAAACAUACUUUCCAAUGAUAAAGCUGUACACCCGGAGCUUGAACAACACUGAGAAACACCUGAAUAAUUUCCAUUCGGUAGCCUUGGAGCAUGGGUUUUCAAACCUAGAUAUAUACUUUAUCUGGGAUGAAUUAGACUGUGUGAAAGAGAACAUAGUACAAUUGUUUUUCCUCAGUAGCUGAAUGAGGCCUCCAUGAUGGGGUCUGACACUCUCCUGCUUCCCUCUCAUGUUGCCCUGUCCUGCAGGGAGGUGGACCAAUUCCCUGAAGGAGGGACUGAUCUGAGGAGGAUACAAUAGCUCUGCCCACCUGACCUCUCCUGCCCCUACCCAAGGUGUUCCUUGGAUCUAUGCCAAAUAAACCUUGCUGCCACAAGCUGCCUAGCAUCUUUUCUGAGGGUAGG